GAUGAAGAACGUAGUGAAAUGCGAUAAGUAAUGUGAAUUGCAGAAUUCAGUGAAUCAUCGAAUCUUUGAACGCACAUUGCGCCCCUUGGUAUUCCGAGGGGCAUGCCUGUUCGAGCGUCAUUAUCACCCCUCAAGCUUUGCUUGGUGUUGGGGCCUGCUGUAAUAGGCAGCCCUUAAAAUCAGUGGCGGUGCUUCAAGGCUCUAAGCGUAGUAAUUCUCCUCGCUAUAGUGUCUAGUGGUUGCCAGCCAGAACCCCCCAAUUUUCAUGAUUGACCUCGGAUCAGGUAGGGAUACCCGCUGAACUUAAGCAUAUCAAUAAGCGGAGGA
Molecule: unclassified non-coding RNA, 327 nt
Filed under: soil metagenome
Description: partial contains 5.8S ribosomal RNA, internal transcribed spacer 2, and large subunit ribosomal RNA
Rfam family: 5.8S ribosomal RNA (bases 1-120)
Source: RNAcentral